Podarcis lilfordi (Lilford's wall lizard) is the source of this 77-nucleotide non-coding RNA. The record is from the annotation of a GenBank genome assembly. NCBI's taxonomy places the organism in Eukaryota, Metazoa, Chordata, Lepidosauria, Squamata, Lacertidae.
GCCUGUAGGUUAGCUCAGCUGGUAGAGCAGGGGACUCUUAAAUCUCAGUGUUGCGGGUUUGAGCCCCACGUUGGGCA